RNAcentral lists this long non-coding RNA (1651 nucleotides) under Paramuricea clavata. Lineage: Eukaryota; Metazoa; Cnidaria; Anthozoa; Malacalcyonacea; Plexauridae. The record is from RNAcentral.
CAAAAUUUAUGAACUUCGCAGGGCUAUAUUUUCCACAUUUUGCAACAUUUCGCAACCAAACUUUGCAGUCAUACUCAUCCUACGAUGCUCUUUCCAGCUAAGCUAAGGUAAUGGAUCUUGUUCUUCUUGCCUAGAUCAAAAUUUAGUCUAUAGCUGGAAUCAUCCAUUAUACACGCCGAUUAGCCUUUCUCGCGCAGGCUAAAUGUCUCCAUUUUGUGGGUACUGUCUUGCUUCAAAAGCGACUUUUCAAAGUUGAAAUAGCAAUUUUACCAUGAUAUGUACAAGUACAUUGGUACCUUUUUCUUUUACGAACAACAACAACCUUGAACUUUCAGAUGUUGACAUUAAUUAUCACGAGCAGCUGAGGCAAUACAGUAUAUACUAAAUUAAUUUAUGAAAGCAAAGUGAUUUACUUUGAAGACGUUCACUUGCCAACCAUGUAUAGCUUCUCCUGAUGGAUCUGGCUUUAAUAUUAUUCUGGUGAAUUAGCAUUGUUUGGACCAAUAUACUAACAUUGGAGUAACUAAAUGUGAGGUACGAUGGCCGAGAAGGGACUUCCGAGAUUCCAGGAUUCCAAGUAUCAAAAUUGACCAUUUUAAGGCCGCGUUUACACUAUGACGCUACGGCUAACACUCCUUUAAAAAUUCACUACGUUUCUAGUAGGCUAUUGAGACUAUAUUGUGUUUACACUAUAACGGAGUGAUUUGCCGUAGCGUACUAUCUAUACGGAAUUAUAUCGUGUUUACACUAUAACGGAGUGAUUUGCCGUAGCGUACUAACUACGGAAAUCAAUUUCGUUAAAAAUUCACUGCGUUUCUUAGUAUUGUAUUUACACUAUAACGGAGUGGUUUGCCGUAGCGUAUUAACUAUCACUACGCUACGGUAAAUUUGCCGUAGCGUCAUAGUGUAAACGCGGCCUAAUAGCUAGUUUACGCGCUUUUACUCGAAUAGCUGUUAUGAAGAGAUGAAAUUUGUAUAUAGUCGAACCCCUAUUAAGCAGACACCUUCGGGACCUCGUUGUCAUCAUCAGUGAUCUGACACAUAUCUUUCGGCUCCUCGGCUGGCGGUUCACAGUCCUCCGUCCUCGUUCGUCAUUUCCUCAAUAAUCUUGGCUCUGAUGUCUUCGCGCCAAGUUGGUGUGUCACUGUCAGUGUGCCAUGUAAAUUGAUCUGAAUUGUUAUUUACUGUCGAAUAUUCAAUACAUUUUAUCAGACAAUCUGUCCGCUCAGAGAGGUUGGUUUGACAUUUGGGACCUCAAGUAAAGUGUCCGCGUCCGCUAAAGAGGGGUGUCCGCUUAAUAGGGGUUAUGAUAAUAGUAUUUUAUUAAAGAAAACGAUAUGUGUCCGCUUAAAAGAGGUGUCCGCUUAAGAGAGGUGUCCGCUUAUAGGGGUUCGACUGUAAUUUUAUUUUCAGUUUCUAUUCACUAGUAUUCAUGCCCACCUACUUUAUCCGGAAUAAUUUACCAAGAUCGGCAAAAGCUAGGAAGUGCUAUUUUGAAGCUUUGGGGCUUUUGGAUGUCAUUUUCCUGAAUAGCUACUUUUGUAAUUCUAUAAUAAGUAAAUGUUCUUUUGUAACUUUUAUUAUGUAGUUUGCAAUAUGUUGCAUGUCAAUGGCUCCCUUAUAUAGGGUUUUUGCCGUUUGUUAAAAUAAG